This 721-nucleotide ribosomal RNA is filed under the name Streptomyces stelliscabiei. Its description in RNAcentral is "bacterial SSU rRNA". It matches the Rfam family "Bacterial small subunit ribosomal RNA", at positions 84 to 818 of the family's 1533-position model. The record is from RNAcentral. Lineage: Bacteria; Bacillati; Actinomycetota; Actinomycetes; Kitasatosporales; Streptomycetaceae.
GGUGGGGAUUAGUGGCGAACGGGUGAGUAACACGUGGGCAAUCUGCCCUUCACUCUGGGACAAGCCCUGGAAACGGGGUCUAAUACCGGAUACAACCACUAGGGGCAUCUCUUGGUGGUGGAAAGCUCCGGCGGUGAAGGAUGAGCCCGCGGCCUAUCAGCUUGUUGGUGAGGUAACGGCUCACCAAGGCGACGACGGGUAGCCGGCCUGAGAGGGCGACCGGCCACACUGGGACUGAGACACGGCCCAGACUCCUACGGGAGGCAGCAGUGGGGAAUAUUGCACAAUGGGCGAAAGCCUGAUGCAGCGACGCCGCGUGAGGGAUGACGGCCUUCGGGUUGUAAACCUCUUUCAGCAGGGAAGAAGCGAAAGUGACGGUACCUGCAGAAGAAGCGCCGGCUAACUACGUGCCAGCAGCCGCGGUAAUACGUAGGGCGCGAGCGUUGUCCGGAAUUAUUGGGCGUAAAGAGCUCGUAGGCGGUCUGUCGCGUCGGAUGUGAAAGCCCGGGGCUUAACCCCGGGUCUGCAUUCGAUACGGGCAGACUAGAGUGUGGUAGGGGAGAUCGGAAUUCCUGGUGUAGCGGUGAAAUGCGCAGAUAUCAGGAGGAACACCGGUGGCGAAGGCGGAUCUCUGGGCCAUUACUGACGCUGAGGAGCGAAAGCGUGGGGAGCGAACAGGAUUAGAUACCCUGGUAGUCCACGCCGUAAACGGUGGGAACUA